CAUGGGUACAUGAAAGACUCAAAGUGGAAAAGGAAAACGGAAGUGCAAAGAUAAAGUUAGAGUAUUGUGGGGGUGUGUCGGAGUAAAUAACGAGCGACCGGCUAGUGAAAAUAGUUAGAGACACCUCCGAACAAAUAGCAACUUAAUAUCUCGUUGUUGCCAGGUUUCCUGAGUUAAAGGUGAUUGGAUCCUAGGACGAGGUGCUCCUCCCUAUCCAUUGCUCGAUAGGUUUAACGUGGCACUAAAUGUUAGCAAUCAUGCCUAGAGUCACUCCACUGACAGUCAAGGUUUAAUCAUGUGUAUAUGAAUACUUGGUGUGAAAUACUAAGAAUCAUUUGUUAAUCUAUAUAUGAUUAUAGUGGUUGAUGAUACCAUUAUGAAUGCAUGCUUGGGUUUUAUGAAUUGUUUUCAAAGGAAC
Molecule: small RNA, 418 nt
Filed under: Theobroma cacao (cacao)
Lineage: Eukaryota; Viridiplantae; Streptophyta; Magnoliopsida; Malvales; Malvaceae
Description: sRNA Tc03v2_g005500
Source: RNAcentral